Molecule: ribosomal RNA, 495 nt
Filed under: uncultured bacterium
Lineage: Bacteria
Description: SSU rRNA
Rfam family: Bacterial small subunit ribosomal RNA
Source: RNAcentral
AGGACGAACGCUGGCGGCGUGCUUAACACAUGCAAGUGGAGCGACGAACCAGGGCUUGCCCUGGGGCAGAGCCGCGAACGGGUGAGUAACACGUGGGUUACCUGCCUCGAUGACCGGGACAACCCGAGGAAACUCGGGCUAAUACCGGAUGUGCCCGCAAGGGGAAAGGAAGCUUCGGCCUCCGCAUCGAGAUGGGCCCGCGGCCCAUUAGCUUGUUGGUGAGGUAACGGCUCACCAAGGCUUCGAUGGGUAGCUGGUCUGAGAGGACGAUCAGCCACACUGGGACUGAGACACGGCCCAGACUCCUACGGGAGGCAGCAGUGGGGAAUCUUGCGCAAUGCGCGAAAGCGUGACGCAGCAACGCCGCGUGGGGGAAGAAGGCUUUCGGGUUGUAAACCCCUUUCAGUUGGGACGAAGCUUCGUCGGUGAAUAGCCGGCCGGAGUGACGGUACCUUCACAAGAAGCACCGGCUAACUACGCGCCAGCAGCCGCGGU